This 1291-nucleotide long non-coding RNA is filed under the name Cyanistes caeruleus (blue tit). RNAcentral's name for it is "lncRNA (ENSCCEG00000021807.1)". Lineage: Eukaryota; Metazoa; Chordata; Aves; Passeriformes; Paridae. The record is from RNAcentral.
AUGCAAACUUGGAUCUGCAGCCCCAGCUGUAAAAAUCUUACAGCUCUGAAAGUCUCUCCAGAGGUCUGAAGUAAAGGUGAAAUUACCUUUAAAUUGCUCCAUCUUGGACCUUUUGGCAUUUUCCUUUCAGAAGCACAGGCAGCUUCAUCCUGCCUCCCCCAACAGACUGCAACCUCUACAGCAGGGAGAGAAAUUCCAAAUCACAAAAGAUGGCAUGGAGCACCAAAGAGAUCCAAAUCAGUUAUACAGCAGCCAGUGCAGAUGCCCAUACCAAAGCAAUUACUGCAUGGGAGAUGCCGACUGGCUGGAAGAACCUGUUCAUUCUGGGCCUGGAAUGGAGUCUGUGAGGAGCUCAGCUUCCUGGGGUGGAAGGAGGAGAACUUCCUUGUCAGCAACUGAGAAGAUCCUGAAGAGUUCCAAGUUGAGGAGGUGCCCUGCAGGAGUGAUGCAGAGACACAGAAAAGAUUUCUCACCACUUGAUCUCAGCAUGUGGCUCUCAUCUGGUGCUGUGCUCUCUCUGCUCCUUUGCCUGGGACAGUGUCAGAGCAAGUGGGGGUUUCAAAAUUCAUCUGUAGCGGGGAGAGCAGGAGGAAUCCUGUUUUCCUCACUGCCCAGACUAAAGAAAUUGCUCCAACCACACCUUUCCUUCUGGAUCUUCCUUCCAAGGAGAGCUUCUUCACAAGCAAGAGAAGCAGAGGCUUGCACAGCUCUUCCACAGUCAUGCCCUGCUCUUUCACUGCCCAUCAACUGCACGGUGUUGUCUCCUCCCACGUUGCAGGCUUGUUUUACACCUGGAAGAGUCAUCCCAAAUGCAGGCUCAGUAGUCAGGUGCAGCCCUGAAAUGAGAGAGGGGAACAGCAAAGAGAUAAGAGAGGCAGAAGAAGGCACCAGCCACCAGCCCAGGAUGUCCCAGGGGUUCCACAAGCAGGGAUUUCUGGACUGACAGAUGAGAUCUCGCUGGUGCUGAGUUCAGUGGACACCACGGAAAAGGGCAGAGACACUUCUGUAGAAAAUUAAUUGCAGGAUUGGGGGUAAGAGCAAAUGCAUUUGCCAUGAAGCACGAUUAAUGCAUUUCCUAAAGUUUGCCAGUAUGUGUUGAUCCUUCUCCCACUGAAGCUGAUGGCAAAACUCCCAUGGAAUUCAGCAAAGUGGGGUGGAAUCUAUACAGAAAUUAUUUUUUCCCAGAACAGCGCAGCUUUGCAAUAACCAGUGGAUUUGCAAACUCCUCACUCUGACACAUUGAAAUAAUUUGGGACUUUCAUUCCAUUUUGCUUUAAUUGGACUUACCCUG